GGCUCAGGACGAACGCUGGCGGCGUGCUUAACACAUGCAAGUCGAACGAUGAUCCGGUGCUUGCACCGGGGAUUAGUGGCGAACGGGUGAGUAACACGUGAGUAACCUGCCCUUGACUCUGGGAUAAGCCUGGGAAACCGGGUCUAAUACCGGAUACGACCCGUCACCGCAUGGUGGUGGGUGGAAAGAUUUUUUGGUUUUGGAUGGACUCGCGGCCUAUCAGCUUGUUGGUGAGGUAAUGGCUCACCAAGGCGACGACGGGUAGCCGGCCUGAGAGGGUGACCGGCCACACUGGGACUGAGACACGGCCCAGACUCCUACGGGAGGCAGCAGUGGGGAAUAUUGCACAAUGGGCGAAAGCCUGAUGCAGCGACGCCGCGUGAGGGAUGACGGCCUUCGGGUUG
RNAcentral lists this ribosomal RNA (404 nucleotides) under Crystallibacter crystallopoietes. RNAcentral's name for it is "bacterial SSU rRNA". It matches the Rfam family "Bacterial small subunit ribosomal RNA", at positions 21 to 425 of the family's 1533-position model. Lineage: Bacteria; Bacillati; Actinomycetota; Actinomycetes; Micrococcales; Micrococcaceae. The record is from RNAcentral.